GAUGAAGAACGCAGCGAAAUGCGAUAAGUAAUGUGAAUUGCAGAGUUCAGUGAAUCAUCGAGUCUUUGAACGCACAUUGCGCCCCCUGGUAUUCCGGGGGGCAUGCCUGUCCGAGCGUCAUUGCUGCCCUCAAGCACGGCUUGUGUGUUGGGCCCCCGUCCCCGGUUUCCCCCGGGGACGGGCCCGAAAGGCAGCGGCGGCACCGCGUCCGGUCCUCGAGCGUAUGGGGCUUUGUCACCCGCUCUGUAGGCCCGGCCGGCGCCAGCCGACACCCAACUUUAUUUCUAAGGUUGACCUCGGAUCAGGUAGGGAUACCCGCUGAACUUAAGCAUAUCAAUAAGCGGAGGA
RNAcentral lists this unclassified non-coding RNA (348 nucleotides) under soil metagenome. RNAcentral describes it as "partial contains 5.8S ribosomal RNA, internal transcribed spacer 2, and large subunit ribosomal RNA". The stretch from base 1 to 120 matches the Rfam family "5.8S ribosomal RNA", at positions 35 to 154 of the family's 154-position model. The record is from RNAcentral.